This 253-nucleotide ribosomal RNA is filed under the name uncultured bacterium. RNAcentral's name for it is "partial 16S ribosomal RNA". It matches the Rfam family "Bacterial small subunit ribosomal RNA", at positions 524 to 776 of the family's 1533-position model. The record is from RNAcentral.
GACAGAGGUGGCGAGCGUUACCCGGAUUCACUGGGCGUAAAGGGUGCGUAGGCGGUCGCGCGUGUCGUUGGUGAAAUCUCCCUGCUCAACGGGGAGGGGUCCAACGAAACUGCGCGGCUGGAGGGCCGGAGAGGGAGGCGGAACUUCCGGAGUAGCGGUGAAAUGCGUAGAUAUCGGCAGGAACACCAGUGGCGAAGGCGGCUCUCUAUUCCAGUACUGACGCUGAGGGACGAAAGCGUGGGGAGCGAUCGGG